GGUGCUGCAUGGCUGUCGUCAGCUCGUGUUGUGAAAUGUUGGGUUAAGUCCCGCAACGAGCGCAACCCUUAUCCUUUGUUGCCAGCGGUCCUGCCGGGAACUCAAAGGAGACUGCCAGUGAUAAACUGGAGGAAGGUGGGGAUGACGUCAAGUCAUCAUGGCCCUUACGACCAGGGCUACACACGUGCUACAAUGGCGCAUACAAAGAGAAGCGACCUCGCGAGAGCAAGCGGACCUCAUAAAGUGCGUCGUAGUCCGGAUUGGAGUCUGCAACUCGACUCCAUGAAGUCGGAAUCGCUAGUAAUCGUGGAUCAGAAUGCCACGGUGAAUACGUUCCCGGGUCUUGUACACAC
RNAcentral lists this ribosomal RNA (353 nucleotides) under uncultured bacterium. RNAcentral describes it as "bacterial SSU rRNA". It matches the Rfam family "Bacterial small subunit ribosomal RNA", at positions 1037 to 1390 of the family's 1533-position model. The record is from RNAcentral.